This 531-nucleotide ribosomal RNA is filed under the name uncultured bacterium. Its description in RNAcentral is "bacterial SSU rRNA". It matches the Rfam family "Bacterial small subunit ribosomal RNA", at positions 777 to 1308 of the family's 1533-position model. The record is from RNAcentral.
AAUAGAUACCCGGGUAGUCCACGCCGUAAACGAUGUCGACUUGGAGGUUGUGCCCUUGAGGCGUGGCUUCCGGAGCUAACGCGUUAAGUCGACCGCCUGGGGAGUACGGCCGCAAGGUUAAAACUCAAAUGAAUUGACGGGGGCCCGCACAAGCGGUGGAGCAUGUGGUUUAAUUCGAUGCAACGCGAAGAACCUUACCUACUCUUGACAUCCACGGAAUUUAGCAGAGAUGCUUUAGUGCCUUCGGGAACCGUGAGACAGGUGCUGCAUGGCUGUCGUCAGCUCGUGUUGUGAAAUGUUGGGUUAAGUCCCGCAACGAGCGCAACCCUUAUCCUUUGUUGCCAGCGGUUAGGCCGGGAACUCAAAGGAGACUGCCAGUGAUAAACUGGAGGAAGGUGGGGAUGACGUCAAGUCAUCAUGGCCCUUACGAGUAGGGCUACACACGUGCUACAAUGGCAUAUACAAAGAGAAGCGACCUCGCGAGAGCAAGCGGACCUCAUAAAGUAUGUCGUAGUCCGGAUUGGAGUCUGC